GACGAACGCUGGCGGCGUGCUUAACACAUGCAAGUCGAACGGAAAGGCCCUGCUUGCAGGGUGCUCGAGUGGCGAACGGGUGAGUAACACGUGGGUGAUCUGCCCCUUACUUUGGGAUAAGCCUGGGAAACUGGGUCUAAUACUGGACAGGAUCAUGCUGUAGGCGGUGUGGUGGAAAGAUUAGUUUCGGUAAGGGAUGAGCUCGCGGCCUAUCAGCUUGUUGGUGGGGUAAUGGCCUACCAAGGCGUCGACGGGUAGCCGGCCUGAGAGGGUGGACGGCCACAUUGGGACUGAGAGACGGCCCAGACUCCUACGGGAGGCAGCAGUGGGGAAUAUUGGACAAUGGGCGCAAGCCUGAUGCAGCGACGCCGCGUGGGGGAUGAGGGCCUUCGGGUUGUAAGCUCCUUUCAGCCAUGACGAAGCCCUUGUGGUGACGGUAGUGUUAGAAGAAGCACCGGCUAACUACGUG
RNAcentral lists this ribosomal RNA (469 nucleotides) under uncultured bacterium. Its description in RNAcentral is "partial 16S ribosomal RNA". It matches the Rfam family "Bacterial small subunit ribosomal RNA", at positions 28 to 507 of the family's 1533-position model. The record is from RNAcentral.